RNAcentral lists this transfer RNA (68 nucleotides) under Lachesilla punctata. RNAcentral describes it as "tRNA-Ser". Lineage: Eukaryota; Metazoa; Arthropoda; Insecta; Psocodea; Lachesillidae. The record is from RNAcentral.
AAUUGAUUAGUCUAAAAAAGACAAUUGUUUUGAAAACAAUAAAUGGCCAUUAAUAAACCCAUCAAUUU